Molecule: long non-coding RNA, 5615 nt
Organism: Oncorhynchus gorbuscha (pink salmon)
Lineage: Eukaryota; Metazoa; Chordata; Actinopteri; Salmoniformes; Salmonidae
Exons: 3
Source: RefSeq, a predicted model, not a curated record
AAUAGGGCUCUGGUCUAUAGUAGUACCACUAUAUAGGGAAUAGGGCCCUGGUCUAUAGUAGUACACUAUAUAGGGAAUAGGGCUCUGGUCUAUAGUAGUGCACUAUGUAGGGAAUAGUGUGCCAUAUGGGACACCUCCGGCGACUCCUGUUCAAAUCAUUAUCAUUGUAAUUCCUGCUCAGCGUUGGUAGACGGUCGUCUGUCUGUUUGAGAAGCUUUACAUUGCCAAAUAAUUUUUGUACAGCUUCUUUUCUAACUAUCUGAAGCCGAGCUAUGAUCAGGGAAUUCAUAGGUGAUAUCACUCUACCAAGAAAGACCCCGCAUUAAUGAGAACAACUUAUUUAUGCAAUGACAUAAUGCUCUCUGUACCUGGACAGACACAGGACAGGUUGUUGACAUAAUGCUCUCUGUACCUGGACAGACACAGGACAGGUUGUUGACAUAAUGCUCUCUGUACCUGGACAGACACAGGACAGGUUGUUGACAUAAUGCUCUCUGUACCUGGACAGACACAGGACAGGUUGUUGACAUAAUGCUCUCUGUACCUGGACAGACAGACACAGGACAGGUUGUUGACAUAAUGCUCUCUGUACCUGGACAGACACAGGACAGGUUGUUGACAUAAUGCUCUCUGUACCUGGACAGACAGACACAGGACAGGUUGUUGACAUAAUGCUCUCUGUACCUGGACAGACACAGGACAGGUUGUUGACAUAAUGCUCUCUGUACCUGGACAGACAGACACAGGACAGGUUGUUGACAUAAUGCUCUCUGUACCUGGACAGACACAGGACAGGUUGUUGACAUAAUGCUCUCUGUACCUGGACAGACACAGGACAGGUUGUUGACAUAAUGCUCUCUGUACCUGGACAGACAGACACAGGACAGGUUGUUGACAUAAUGCUCUCUGUACCUGGACAGACACAGGACAGGUUGUUGACAUAAUGCUCUCUGUACCUGGACAGACACAGGACAGGUUGUUGACAUAAUGCUCUCUGUACCUGGACAGACACAGGACAGGUUGUUGACAUAAUGCUCUCUGUACCUGGACAGACAGACAGACACAGGACAGGUUGUUGACAUAAUGUUCUCUGUACCUGGACAGACAGACACAGGACAGGUUGUUGACAUAAUGCUCUCUGUACCUGGACAGACACAGGACAGGUUGUUGACAUAAUGCUCUCUGUACCUGGACAGACACAGGACAGGUUGUUGACAUAAUGCUCUCUGUACCUGGACAGACACAGGACAGGUUGUUGACAUAAUGCUCUCUGUACCUGGACAGACACAGGACAGGUUGUUGACAUAAUGCUCUCUGUACCUGGACAGACAGACACAGGACAGGUUGUUGACAUAAUGCUCUCUGUACCUGGACAGACACAGGACAGGUUGUUGACAUAAUGCUCUCUGUACCUGGACAGACACAGGACAGGUUGUUGACAUAAUGCUCUCUGUACCUGGACAGACACAGGACAGGUUGUUGACAUAAUGCUCUCUGUACCUGGACGGACACAGGACAGGUUGUUGACAUAAUGCUCUCUGUACCUGGACAGACAGACAGACAGACACAGGACAGGUUGUUGACAUAAUGCUCUCUGUACCUGGACAGACAGACACAGGACAGGUUGUUGACAUAAUGCUCUCUGUACCUGGACAGACGGACAGACACAGGACAGGUUGUUGACAUAAUGCUCUCUGUACCUGGACAGACGGACACAGGACAGGUUGUUGACAUAAUGCUCUCUGUACCUGGACAGACAGACACAGGACAGGUUGUUGACAUAAUGCUCUCUGUACCUGGACAGACACAGGACAGGUUGUUGACAUAAUGCUCUCUGUACCUGGACAGACAGGCACAGGACAGGUUGUUGACAUAAUGCUCUCUGUACCUGGACAGACAGACACAGGACAGGUUGUUGACAUAAUGCUCUCUGUACCUGGACAGACACAGGACAGGUUGUUGACAUAAUGCUCUCUGUACCUGGACAGACAGACACAGGACAGGUUGUUGACAUAAUGCUCUCUGUACCUGGACAGACAGACACAGGACAGGUUGUUGACAUAAUGCUCUCUGUACCUGGACAGACAGACACAGGACAGGUUGUUGACAUAAUGCUCUCUGAACCUGGACAGACAGACAGACAGACACAGGACAGGUUGUUGACAUAAUGCUCUCUGUACCUGGACAGACACAGGACAGGUUGUUGACAUAAUGCUCUCUGUACCUGGACAGACAGACACAGGACAGGUUGUUGACAUAAUGCUCUCUGUACCUGGACAGACACAGGACAGGUUGUUGACAUAAUGCUCUCUGUACCUGGACAGACAGACACAGGACAGGUUGUUGACAUAAUGCUCUCUGAACCUGGACAGACAGACACAGGACAGGUUGUUGACAUAAUGCUCUCUGUACCUGGACAGACACAGGACAGGUUGUUGACAUAAUGCUCUCUGUACCUGGACAGACACAGGACAGGUUGUUGACAUAAUGCUCUCUGUACCUGGACAGACAGACACAGGACAGGUUGUUGACAUAAUGCUCUCUGAACCUGGACAGACAGACAGACACAGAGAGAUGAUUCUGAAAGUAACUCAUGUGUUGUCGAAGUAACUGUAAUAAUAGAACCCAAUUUGAAAAAGUAACAUGUUGCUUUACUCUGUUACUCAUAAAAGUAAUCUGAUUACGUAACGUGUUACUUUUGUAACACUGGUUAGGAAUCUCCCUCCCUCCCAGAUAGAAUACGUAGGUCCUCCACUUCCUCCUCUUGAGGAAGAGCAGACGGACCAGACCAACGGACAGUAUCAACCUGGCCUGUGGAGCAGGGUCUUCACUGUUAAAUGAUGAUCGGUGGUUAGGGAGAAAUGCCUCCUCUCCUCCCUCUGGUGAAUCUCUUUCUGGGUCUUUGGCCUUGUGACAGUAAGACUGUAUCCUUUUGACUGUUAAACACUCUGUCUACAUAUUGAUAAUGUCUGGUUGGCUGGGCCCUGUUUCUGCUCCUCCCCCUAACCCCUGGUCCCUGUUUCUGCUCCUCCCCCUAACCCCUGGGCCCUGUUUCUGCUCCUCCCCCUAACCCCUGGGCCCUGUUUCUGCUCCUCCCCCUAACCCCUGGUCCCUGUUUCUGCUCCUCCCCCUAACCCCUGGGCCCUGUUUCUGCUCCUCCCCCUAACCCCUGGGCCCUGUUUCAGCUCCUCCCACUAACCCCUGGGCCCUGUUUCUGCUCCUCCCCCUAACCCCCUGGGCCCUGUUUCAGCUCCUCCCCCUAACCCCCUGGGCCCUGUUUCAGCUCCUCCCCCAGUUACGUUAUGUUGUUGAACGAUGCAGAUAGACUACAGCUGAUGUUAUUCUGUGUACUAGAUGCGUUCUACAUCAUACUGCUCCUUUAUGUGUAUGACCUCUGCCCCCGGGUACACUGAAAUUUGUUCGUUUUGGGGGGGAGUUUUCCUUUAUCUCUUUGGUAUUUGUUUCAUUAGUUCAUUGUUGUUCAUAGCUGACAAGCAAAACAUUUUGGGACUACAAUGAACUGAAACAAAUACCAAAAUAUAUUUUGGGGGUGUAGUUUAACUAAUCAGAUCAAGGCACUUAACAUGGUGCUUGUGCAGUAAUAUGCUAAUUAUAUGCAGAUCAGUGGAUCCCAAUCAGGUGGCAGCACACCUUCACAAAUUUAAAUAUCUCGGAGAGCACACCCCCUUUUUAUUUUUACCAAGUUAAUAAACGUAUAAUUUCUUGAUCUUAAAUAAGAUUCCCCAUUUAAAGCAACAAAAAAAACAUAGGCUAUGUAUAUUAAAAAUACUGUUUAUAAUUAUAUAUAUAUAUUACGUACCUUCAAGUGUAAAACGAUGUAUACUGACAAACCUACAGAGGCAUGAGUCAGAUGACAUAAUAUGUACAUUAUCGUACCAUAUUUCUACAUUCAGUCCACUGGAGCCGUUUCAAUAGUGUGGAUGUUUCUAGUGUGGUGGUUUAUGUAUGCAAGUUCCCCUUUAACACGGUAUCACCCGUUGGAUCUGUGAGAGACUGUAACAGCAUUAUAAAUGAGUCCCGUCUGAUGCUCCCUCCUUCCCCGAACUAGAAGAACAAAACACAAGGAUUAAUAACGGAGGCAUUAUCAGUGACAAGAUGUCUGCAUCUCUCUAGAUCUAUACGCUAGCUUCUCUUUGACACCAUCGCAGCGGUCAUAGUUCACUUCUCGUCAGCAUUUCAUGUCUUAGUGUCUUCGUUCCUAUUUGCUUCAGCUUUCCCUGUUUCACAUAACAUUUAUCACCCUUAUUUAAGUUCCAUACACAACCAAUGCAAGGGAAGCUGGCUAGUUGUUAGUAGCUUGAGCUCCUUCAUCAGUAUUUGAGAUGCUCAGAGAGAACAUUCUCCAUGUCUGCUGCCAUUUCACUGGCCAUAGUAUCUAAGUGGCCAAACAUCUAUAUAGAUCUCUGCUCCAGUAACUGGCUGUGGUUUCAUAUCUCUGCUCCAGUAACUGUCUGUGGUUUCAUACCUCUGCUCCAGUAACUGGCUGUGGUUUCAUACCUCUGCUCCAGUAACUGGCUGUGGUUUCAUACCUCUGCUCCAGUAACUGGCUGUGGUUUCAUACCUCUGCUCCAGUAACUGGCUGUGGUUUCAUACCUCUGCUCCAGUAACUGGCUGUGGUUUCAUACCUCUGCUCCAGUAACUGUCUGUGGUUUCAUACCUCUGCUCCAGUAACUGGCUGUGGUUUCAUGCGACACCUAUCAGACUUCAUACCAAGUCUAAUGCCAAGUCUAGAGCUCCCAGCUCAUUGGUUGAGAUGCUCAAAGAGAACAUUCUCCAUGUAGUGCAGGUCCACCCCUUUGAUUGCACUUGCUUUUUCUAUAUAACGUUACAAUGCCUUCUAUAUAAUGUUACAAUACUUUCUAUAUAAUGUUAAAAUGCCAUCAACAACGUUAAAAUGCCUUCUAUAUAACGUUACAAUGCCAUAAUGGGACAUAGUGUCUACUGGCUCAAUAUCUCCACACAGAGAGCCAGCUAGGUGGAUGACAUUACAAUGCCAUGGGACCUGCUGCACAGCAUUACAGAGCCUUAACCCAUCUACAGAAGGCAGCAGCUGUUAGAGCCACUGGCCACAACCCCCCGCUGAUCCAUCUGUCCAUCAAUCUAUCUAUCCAAAAGUAUGUGGACACCCUUUCAAAUUAGUGGGUUCUAUUUCAACCACACCCUUUGCUGACAGGUGUAAAAUAAAAUCGAGCACACGGCCAUGCAAUCUGUCCAUAGACAGACAUUGGCAGUAGAAUGGAGAGCUCAGUGACCUUAAACCUGUCACCGUCAUAGGAAGCCACCUUUCCAACAAGUCAGUUUGUCAAAUUUAUGCCCUGCUAGAGCUGCCCCCAGUCAUCUGUAAGUGCUGUUAUUGUGAAAUGGAAACAUCUAGGAGCAGCAACGGCUUAGCCGCGAAGUGGUAGGCAACACCAGCUCACAGAACCGGACCGCCAAGUGCUGAAACGCAUAAAGAUCAUCUGUCCCCGUUUGCAACACUCACUACCGAGUUCCAAACUGCCUCUGGAAGCAACACUUACUACCGAGUUCCAAACUGCCUCUGGAAGCAAUACUCACUACCGAGUUCCAAACUGCCUCUGGAAGCAAUACUCACU